RNAcentral lists this ribosomal RNA (469 nucleotides) under uncultured bacterium. Its description in RNAcentral is "partial 16S ribosomal RNA". It matches the Rfam family "Bacterial small subunit ribosomal RNA", at positions 28 to 507 of the family's 1533-position model. The record is from RNAcentral.
GACGAACGCUGGCGGCGUGCUUAACACAUGCAAGUCGAACGGAAAGGCCCUGCUUGCCGGGUGCUCGAGUGGCGAACGGGUGAGUAGCACGUGGGUGAUCUGCCCCUUACUUUGGGAUAAGCCUGGGAAACUGGGUCUAAUACUGGAUAGGACCAUGCUGUAGGUGGUGUGGUGGAAAGAUUAGUUUCGGUAAGGGAUGAGCUCGCGGCCUAUCAGCUUGUUGGUGGGGUAAUGGCCUACCAAGGCGUCGACGGGUAGCCGGCCUGAGAGGGUGGACGGCCACAUUGGGACUGAGAUACGGCCCAGACUCCUACGGGAGGCAGCAGUGGGGAAUAUUGCACAAUGGGCGCAAGCCUGAUGCAGCGACGCCGCGUGGGGGAUGACGGCCUUCGGGUUGUAAACUCCUUUCAGCCAUGACGAAGCCCUUGUGGUGACGGUAGUGGUAGAAGAAGCACCGGCUAACUACGUG